RNAcentral lists this ribosomal RNA (465 nucleotides) under uncultured bacterium. Its description in RNAcentral is "partial 16S ribosomal RNA". It matches the Rfam family "Bacterial small subunit ribosomal RNA", at positions 28 to 507 of the family's 1533-position model. The record is from RNAcentral.
GACGAACGCUGGCGGCGUGCUUAACACAUGCAAGUCGAACGGAAAGGCCCUGCUUGCAGGGUACUCGAGUGGCGAACGGGUGAGUAACACGUGGGUGAUCUGCCCUGCACUUCGGGAUAAGCCUGGGCAACUGGGUCUAAUACCGGAUAGGAGCCAUUUUUAGUGUGAUGGUUGGAAAGUUUUUUCGGUGUAGGAUGAGCUCGCGGCCUAUCAGCUUGUUGGUGGGGUAAUGGCCUACCAAGGCGGCGACGGGUAGCCGGCCUGAGAGGGUGGACGGCCACAUUGGGACUGAGGUACGGCCCAGACGCCUACGGGAGGCAGCAGUGGGGAAUAUUGAACAAUGGGCGCAGGCCGGAUGCAGAGAGGCCGCGUGGGGGAUGACGGCCUUCGGGUUGUAAACUCCUUGCGCUAGGGACGAAGCUUUUUGUGACGGUACCUAGAGAAGAAGCACCGGCUAACUACGUG